ACACAAAAAUGCACAUGCUGUGAGCUCGAUGAGUAGGGCGGGACACGUGGUAUCCUGUCUGAAUAUGGGGGGACCAUCCUCCAAGGCUAAAUACUCCUGACUGACCGAUAGUGAACCAGUACCGUGAGGGAAAGGCGAAAAGAACCCCGGCGAGGGGAGUGAAAAAGAACCUGAAACCGUGUACGUACAAGCAGUGGGAGCACGCUUAGGCGUGUGACUGCGUACCUUUUGUAUAAUGGGUCAGCGACUUAUAUUCUGUAGCAAGGUUAACCGAAUAGGGGAGCCGAAGGGAAACCGAGUCUUAACUGGGCGUUAAGUUGCAGGGUAUAGACCCGAAACCCGGUGAUCUAGCCAUGGGCAGGUUGAAGGUUGGGUAACACUAACUGGAGGACCGAACCGACUAAUGUUGAAAAAUUAGCGGAUGACUUGUGGCUGGGGGUGAAAGGCCAAUCAAACCGGGAGAUAGCUGGUUCUCCCCGAAAGCUAUUUAGGUAGCGCCUCGUGAAUUCAUCUCCGGGGGUAGAGCACUGUUUCGGCAAGGGGGUCAUCCCGACUUACCAACCCGAUGCAAACUGCGAAUACCGGAGAAUGUUAUCACGGGAGACACACGGCGGGUGCUAACGUCCGUCGUGAAGAGGGAAACAACCCAGACCGCCAGCUAAGGUCCCAAAGUCAUGGUUAAGUGGGAAACGAUGUGGGAAGGCCCAGACAGCCAGGAUGUUGGCUUAGAAGCAGCCAUCAUUUAAAGAAAGCGUAAUAGCUCACUGGUCGAGUCGGCCUGCGCGGAAGAUGUAACGGGGCUAAACCAUGCACCGAAGCUGCGGCAGCGACGCUGAUGCGUUGUUGGGUA
This 850-nucleotide ribosomal RNA is filed under the name Escherichia coli. RNAcentral's name for it is "partial 23S ribosomal RNA". It matches the Rfam family "Bacterial large subunit ribosomal RNA", at positions 377 to 1230 of the family's 2925-position model. Lineage: Bacteria; Pseudomonadati; Pseudomonadota; Gammaproteobacteria; Enterobacterales; Enterobacteriaceae. The record is from RNAcentral.